CCACAUUGACGUGCGUAGCCCAUAUGACUUAACAUUUGGUGUUUUUCAGCAAUAGAAAGAAAAUAAUACAUACAAUCACAUUCACAUCACAUUCAUCACAUCUGAUAAAAACAUGAUUCAUUAUUGAAUUCUGCAGGACAAUAAUGCAAUAAACAUAAAUAAUGUUGAUUAUGCAGAUAGAAAUUUACACUCACUCUUAAGUACUGCACCAAACAAAUAAACAAACUGUGUCACAAGCCAGUUAUAAAUCAUUAGUUAAACUAGUCCUUUUGGAAAAUUUAAUUAGCCAAAUUAGGAGUUUUCAAACUGUUAAUACGUAGGUAUUAAUACGUAACUUUCAAAGACACAAAACGUACAUUUUUGUACGUUUAGAAAGGUGCUAAAACGUACAAUAUUGACGUAAUUAUGGCACUAAAACGUAAAAAUACUUACGUUUUUACAGCGAAAAAACGUAAAAUAUUUACGAAUCUUAUCAUGUCUUAAAGAUAUAUGUAUAAUUUCCCUUUUAUCGUUUUGUAGAUAAAUGUAAGAUCCCUAAACCCCAUCCCGAACCUAAACCUACCCAUUUUAUACAGAAUGUUAAAAGAAUAAAACAUAAAGAACAGAAAUGUGUAGGAAAAUGACAAUUUUAGUAAAAAUAUAACAUUAAAACGAUAUUUUGAGCCACUAAUCCUACACCUACCCCUAAACCUACCCAUAACCAUUUCUUUAAACUAUCUACUGUUAUAAAAGAAUGACAGACAAACAAGCGUAAUCACAAUAAUUUAUUUAUUUUUGCGAAAAUGUCAAAAGUGGUACCAAAAGUAGUUAAAAUGAUGAUGAGUUCCACUCACAGUCCUCUCUGGCGGUAAUAGUUUUUUAUAGGGUACAGAGCAGAAUUUAAUUUAUUAAUCCAUGAAAAUAUGAUGAAUCCGGCUUCUCUCCGUGAAGGCGCGCACUCAUUUCAAAUGUCAAUCCACUGAAACACGGCAUGUCGCAAUCUGUGACGAAGCAGGUGAGAACCAAUGAGCGUUCGAUAUCAGUGCCGUAAACCAUAUCUCGUAACGCUUCUCGAGGGUGGCGCUACUUUCAAAUUUGAAUCAUAACGAGCGCGAGCUUUGACUGUGACUGUUGCUGUUGCUGAGAAUGAAGAUGAAGAUCGAUGGAUAAAGGGCUGAAUUUGGAUCUGUUCCUUACAAACAUAUGGAUUCUAAAGAUUGGGAGUACAGCGAACAAAUAAAAUUGAUGUGAUUUGUGAAUUUAUGCUGUGUUUUGGUGUAUCUUAUGGUUGUAUUGUCAGUCACUGCAUAGGAGAAAACGCCUUUCUGUGUCUCACAGCAAACAAACUAAAUAUUACAAAAUGGUUAAACAAGUACAGAAAAUUUAUUCGUAAGGUUUUAAAUUGUAGUCUUGUUUAACAUUAUGCAAUCCUCCGAAACGAGCAGCACAAGUCACGAACAGAAAUGUUAUUUCAUAUUAAGUAGAUGAGUAAGCUGCUUUCAAUAAAUUUGACUAAAAACAACAUUAAAUCAUUAAAGCCACGAUUUUAAUAUUAAUACAUGGGAAUUCAUAUACAUUCACACUUUACGUUACAUGAUUUACGUUUUUAUUGCUGUUAAUACGUAAGUAUUUUUACGUUUUAGUCCUCUGAAUACGUCAAUGUACGUUUUUGUGUGUAUGAAAACGUAAGUAAAUGUACGUGUGGUAGAACCACAAUUUACGUAAAAAUACACACGUAUUCUCAUGAGAUCACGUUGCAAAAACCGCAAGAUUCCGCAAAAUAUUUUUUACCAUUAAUAAAACUCAAUAUACACACAGAUAUGCCUACAUAUUUAUUUAUUUACAUUAUUUAUGGCAAAACCCCAGGAUCUCUUUUAGCCACCAAUAAAAAUAGUAAAUAUAAGUCACUAUAGUGUUUAGGGUUGGGUAUCGAGAACCGGUUCCACUUUAGAACCGGUUCCAAAUUUCAAAGAACCGGGUAUUCGAUACGAUGCGCGCGUUUCGAUUCUGUUUAUCGAUUCCUGACUUUUUUCAGUCAUUCUCGCACGGUGAACAGCAGUGAGCAUUUUACAGUUGUAUCUAUCUGCUAGGACCUGCGACAAGGACCUCAUCUCAUCACGCACAUACGCAGUUCAUUACAAUCGGCACUGACUUUUGCUUCAACACGGCAUUAAUCUGAAGGAAUGCACUGUGUUUGGGGCCGUUCACAUGUCGCGUCUAAAAACGCGUGGAAAGCGCCACUUUCUCCUCCUUUCCAAAGCGCUUUCGCUCCUGUGGCGUCUGUCGUUGCUAUGCAACCAUGAACUGCGCUCUGCAAGAUGACUAGGAAAUAUCAGCAAAGGAUUAAUUGAUUUCUAGCUCUUGCAUUAGCUUUACUAGAUAUAUUUAUGGAGAUGAGAAAUAAAACCCGGCUAAGCUUUUGAUGUUGUUACGGAAAGGCCGAAGCUGAUCGGUUGGUUCUUGUCACAUGACCUGCGGUGCGCUUGAGGCAUUCUGAAAAGCAUAUAGGCGCGCCUGGAAACAUUUGAAAUAACGAACAUUUGAAAUAACGCGCCUACAUUUGAAAUAACGAACUGUGAACUCUAACCCAGCCGCGAGUCCUAAAGCACCAGAUACAGCUUAGCAAUAGCAGCGUCUCUCACUCAGGUACAAGAACAGUUACAGCCUACUAGUUAUAGCCUAAAUGUGGCAAGAAUAAAGGGUAAAAACAUUAUUAUUAUAUUCUUAUUAUUAUCUUAUUAUUAUAUUCUUGAAGUAUGCUCUUUUUUUCUCUCCAAAAAAAAAAAAAAAAAAUAUUGGAAUCGGAAUCGAGAAUCGAUAAGAAUCGGAUUCGAUAAGCAGAACCGGAAUCGUUAAAAUUAAAACGAUACCCAACCCUAAUAGUGUUAUAGGUUGGCUACUAUAGGGUGUUGCGGGUAGUUUUCCAGGGCAUUGGAUUUCAGGAUUGUUACUUUAGGGGCUGGGUCAUACAGUAUUUAUUUCACGUUAACUAAUUUACAUGUAUUGGACCCAAAUCCCAAUGUGUAGCUAUAAACAACAAUCCUAGAUUAUUGAUUAAAAAAGUGUAUAGUGCAUUUUUUCGCAAAAUAAAAAUAGGCUCAUUGCCAAAACUUUACUUGCUUUUACCCCCAAGAUGAGAUCACUGUUGCGCAGUGAAAUUUUGUGGGCAAAAGCAAAAAACAAACUUAAAUCCUUGAUUGUUGAUUAAAAAAAAAUGUUUUGAUCAUCAUGAAAUCAAAACUGACAGUUCUUAUUUUGUUUGUGAAAGCAUGUGGGUACUGCAUUGAGUUCUUUAACAUAAAGCACGUCCUGUGCUUUAUUUUCUUAUUCAUGCCACAAGCUAGUUAUAACUCAUUAGUUAGUCCUUUUAGAAAAUUUAAUUAACCAAAUAAGGGGUUUUCAAACUGGGGUCCAAAAAACCACAAGCAGAUGAGAUUCUGCAAAAUGUCUUUUACCAGUAAUAAAAACUCAAUAUACACACAGAUAGGCCUACAUACAUACAUACAUACAUAUUUACUUAUUUAUUUUAUUUAUUUAUUUUAUAUAUUUUGUGGCUUCAUCCACAAUCGGAUUGUUGAAAGACCAGGCAUCUAUGGACAGGCUCUGCGACAGACAGUUAGAUCAGUCUCUGAAGCAGCCAGUGGAUAUGGAUUAAGCGGAAGGACCCUUGUUGGGCUCAAAGAGCAUCAACAUGACCCGCUCACUAAAAUCCCCCCACCCCAUACCCAGAGAACCCAGGUUACAACCCUCCAGGAGGAGGUGAAAGGUAUGCGGCUUGCUCUAGGCUUGACUCAGGGAAGAGGACGCCCCCUGCCUUGCAUAGUCCCGUGGGCUGCGCCAUUUAAACAACCAGGCAAUUCUCAUGAUUGGACAUGGGACACAAGCUCAGGUUUGAUCACCCUGUAGCUGGCCACCUUUGAUGAGAGUGUCUAGUGUUGAAAGGCCGAAGCACCCCCUGAUUCAAAGGCACACUACUGAUGAUGUGUCCCAAAAUUUACAGCUUUGAUGAUGUGUCCCAAAUUUACAGCAUUCCCACGUCUGAGAUACAGCUCUCACGCCACUCUCAACAUCAAGGCAAACCUCAUGUGCAUACCACCCAUUGGCACAAAGGACAGUUUACCAUCACAUCCUGUGUUUCAUGAUUCUUCUUUAUUAUUUAUUUAUCUAUCUAUCUAUCUAUCUAUCUGGCAAAAACACAGGAUCUCAUUUAGCCACCAAUAAAAAUAGUAAAUAUUAAUAUAACUGUGUAAAAAUAGUAACCAACAGCAGAAUGUAAUCAAAUAAUAUAUUAUUUUGUAAAAUUAUUAUAAUAAACAUAUAUGGCUACAAAAAAGAAUAUGUAAAAUGCAGCACAGAAUUUUGCAUAGGGACACAAAUGAAUCUAUGAAUCGUUUCAUUCAACUGGUGCAUUUAAAUGACUCGUCUGAUUGAACCGGUUCACAUGAUUUGGAAUUUUGGACUUUCCAGAGGAAGUGGACGUAUAGGCCAACACGGUAGGUGUGGCGUUUUAUCACAUUACACUGCUACUUUUUUCAGAAAAGUAGCAUAUUUCUGGAAAGCUACUGUUAUAUAUACUUCUGAAAUUGAAAUCAUAAUCGUCGCUACUUUCAGUUACUCCACCACAAAACUGUCAUGAACUCCAAACAAGAUCGAGUUCCCAUUUACACGCAUUAUUUGACUGACAGACCGCAACGGUUGGAGUUAAAAAUCAUCAUUUGUGUUCUACUGAAGAAACAAAGUCACCUACAUCUUGGAUGCCCUGGGGAUUAGUUUGCCGUGACUGCCAGACAGGAACUGAUGGGAUUAACUGCCAAAAGGUGUGGGACUGUCUAGUGUCAACUUGCCAUAAGUCAUGUUAUUUGAUAAAGAACAAGAAGAUGUAGGGGUUUUCCCAGAAUCUGGGCAUUUUUUCUACCCAGACACUUAAACAAUAAUAUAUUGAUUACACGCUGGAUCAAAUUUAUAAGAUGUCUAAAAGGGUCAAAAAACGUUCAUAAUAUAGUCAUGUAAGUAAUAAAGUGAGACUGUUCAGGUACUUUUAAUGUUAUGCCUUAUAGAAGGCAGAAAAACUCUCUCUCUCUCUCUCUUUCUUUGUGUCUACACUUUACAAGUGUAAAUCAUUACUCUACAAGGAAGAAGUGCAUGUUUUCCCCUUAGUCCAUAAUCUUCAUUGAAGGAAAUGGGAACUUUGGCCAAGACAAUAUUUUCAGUUGGAGUGACUCAGACAUACUUGUUUAGUGUGGGCUGGUGUGUGUAUACAUCAAGUCCAUGUGCUUAGUGUCACUGUUUUCUUAUUAUCAUGACAAAUCUGCACAGUCAAACGUGAGUGUGUGCAGUCAUUUCUGCCGAAUCCAACCCUUAAAAAUGUAUUUCAUCAGUUUAAAUAUAAUCCAUUUGAGUCAGUAUUUACAAUAAGAUGUCUGUCCUGAGUGAAGCCAUGAAGCACCUUUUUGUAGGUUAUUAAACAGAAGAUUAGAGUUGGAUAAUUGCUUUCUAGGUGUGGGAGCUUUUUUUUUUUAAGUGGUAAAACGCAGAAAGUGUGCUUCAGAUGUUUACCUGUUUAACAAAAGCGUACUCAAAUUUGCUGUGUCAACCAUUUGAACACUUUAUACCAUCAUAUUCUUUCCAAAUGUAGUUGUGGAAUCCUGGAAUAUUUGUUUGGGUGAUGACUCUGGGCAUUUUUAAAAUGGAGAACUUACUGACUCUUAUUUGACAUACAAAUGUCCUUCUUUUCUUUUGAUUACACAAAGACAUGAAGCGCAUACCUGAGAAUUGCUUCUGUAUCAUUUUAUAAAGAUACAUCCUUUGUAAACUACAUUAUUGGGGACAUCAGCGAGGACAUGGUGGUGUCAGUGUCAGUGUGUGUGUUAUGAAAUAGAUAUGAAAUAGUUGUCUGUAAACAUUUGGCUCAGAGUACUUAGACAAUUAGACCACGAUUAAACAAUGCCUGAGUGCAUUAACUUUUCCCAGAACAAGCUUUUCUGAGACAUUUAGGCAUUUACUUUUCUGGACCCAACUGGACCCAAGGUGAUUUUCGUGAUUUUCAGUUUCCUUCACGUUCACAUUAACUAUGAAUAUGUUCCACUAACUGACAACCAGGAAGUGUCCAAGUACUUUUUGCCUUAAUUUUGAAUGGUAUAGCUAUUAUUUUCUAAUUUAAAACCUUAGAAACUUCUUUUUUGUGAAAUGUUUUUGCUUAAAGAAUGCUUGUGCUAUAUUUCGUUAAAAUAAAUGCCACUUGGUUUGAUAUUUUUCAAUGCAAUACUGUUUAGUAGAUACUCAUUUUGUUUGAAACUUUGACCAUUAAAAAAGUAUGUUUGUUUUA
Ctenopharyngodon idella (grass carp) is the source of this 6304-nucleotide long non-coding RNA. RefSeq lists it as uncharacterized. The record is from RefSeq and is a predicted model, not a curated record. Lineage: Eukaryota; Metazoa; Chordata; Actinopteri; Cypriniformes; Xenocyprididae. The transcript is spliced from 3 exons.